AUGAUUUGUUUCUUACAAACACACAGCUUUUCACUGCACAAGACAUUAAUUGAAGGUGUGGAUUAUUGUGAUGUUUUUUGGACUCUCAUUCUGACGGCACCCAUUCACUGCAGAGCAUUCUUUGCUAAGCAAGUGAUGUACAUUUAUCCAAAUCUGGUGAAAAAGCAAACUCAUCUAAAUUUUUUUUUUUUUUUUUUUGGUGAACAUUUCCUCUAAAAUGAAUCAGCUGUUAUUAAAAUGCAAAGUGAAAACUGUAGAGCAUUAUUUAACUUGAAGUUAACCUUUAAAAACAUGAACUGUAGGGUUCAUUAAAUGCUAAUUUGUGAUAUGCGGGAAUCAGCUGCAGCCUGAGUGGAAAGACAUGACUUGAUCAUCAACAAAAAAUGACUGGCAUUUAUAUUUCCCAACAAAAACCUAAUGAUCCUUAUCGGAACUUCUUCUUUUUUUGCCUCCCCAGAACUUUAGUUAUCAUCAUAUGCUCUAUACAGUACAAUCCAUUAGGAAAACUAUUAUCUAACAUCACAAUCAGCACUUAGCUAAUUGAAUCUUUCACUUUUCUACAGACACAGGCUAUACGAAUACCAACUGUUUGUAAUUGGAUAAAUGCAAAAACGGCAGCAAAUGCUGUUUCUAAUGGCAAAACCUAGAUGUCUGCAAAUAUGGCCAGAAGCUGACACUGCCUGCUUGUGCUGAACCGUACUGGGUAAGUUUUGCUUCAUUGCCUCCUCUUAUGAUUUGAUAACUUUUUUGGGUGGCUAUAAUGCUGGCUUUGCACUUAAUGAGAGAACUGUGACCCUCUAUGGAACUGGACAAUUGGGUAAAAGAACUGCUGCAACAAGCAUUUAUGCAAGGCCACAAUUUAAGUAACAGUUGAUUCUUGCAUUUAGGGAGAAGAAAUCAGCAAAUUAGUUGAGAAUUUUGGUGUUAAUUGAAUCAAAAGAAAUUUACGGUAGAUGAGCAAUCAGUGUUGUAUUGAGUGUUGUAUCAACAAAUGCAAUCUUCAUAUGAAAACGUGGGGUAUAUACGGUGCAUAUAUAAUGGUGUCUUAAAUUCUGAGACCUCUAGAUAAUAUAUUAGAAUAUAGUGAAAAUAUUAGCCUGACAGUCAGAGUGGAAAGCUGAACUGAAACUAUUUAUAUAGUAUUUAUGCACUAUCAUAGUUUUUUUUUUUUUAAAGAAAUUCAUAUUUUUAUUCAGAAGGAUGCAUUAAAUUGAUUGCAAGCGACAGUACAGAUUUCAACUUCACUGUUUUCAACUGUAAUAUUAAGAUAUAUUUCAUGACCAACAAAGCAGCUUAAUAAAAGAUUUCUA
Molecule: long non-coding RNA, 1310 nt
Organism: Cyprinus carpio carpio
Lineage: Eukaryota; Metazoa; Chordata; Actinopteri; Cypriniformes; Cyprinidae
Source: Ensembl